Molecule: transfer RNA, 89 nt
Filed under: Puccinia coronata f. sp. avenae
Lineage: Eukaryota; Fungi; Basidiomycota; Pucciniomycetes; Pucciniales; Pucciniaceae
Description: Puccinia coronata var. avenae f. sp. avenae partial tRNA-Ala
Rfam family: tRNA
About the family: Transfer RNA (tRNA) molecules are approximately 80 nucleotides in length. Their secondary structure includes four short double-helical elements and three loops (D, anti-codon, and T loops). Further hydrogen bonds mediate the characteristic L-shaped molecular structure. tRNAs have two regions of fundamental functional importance: the anti-codon, which is responsible for specific mRNA codon recognition, and the 3' end, to which the tRNAs corresponding amino acid is attached (by aminoacyl-tRNA synthetases). tRNAs cope with the degeneracy of the genetic code in two manners: having more than one tRNA (with a specific anti-codon) for a particular amino acid; and 'wobble' base-pairing, i.e. permitting non-standard base-pairing at the 3rd anti-codon position.
Source: RNAcentral
GGGGUUCUAGCUCAUCGGUAGAGCGCUCGCUUAGCAUCCUCUGUACGGACGCAUGCGAGAGGUACAGGAUUCGACUCCCUGGUACUCCA